Molecule: ribosomal RNA, 370 nt
Filed under: uncultured eukaryote
Lineage: Eukaryota
Description: partial 18S ribosomal RNA
Rfam family: Eukaryotic small subunit ribosomal RNA
Source: RNAcentral
CAAUAGCGUAUAUUAAAGUUGUUGCAGUUAAAAAGCUCGUAGUUGGAUUUCUGGUCGGAAGCUCCUGUCCUCUGAUGCGCGUACAAGUGCGUCCUACCAUCCUUCUGUUAACCUUUAAGGCUUUCGCGGCUUUCUAGGGGCUCAGAUAUUUUACCUUGAGAAAAUUAGAGUGUUUCAGGCAGGCUAGCGCCGGAAUACAUUAGCAUGGAAUAAUGGAAUAGGACUUUUGCCUCUUCUGUUGGUCAUGAGGCUCGAGUAAUGAUUAAUAGGGAUAGUUGGGGGCAUUAGUACUUAACUGUCAGAGGUGAAAUUCUCGGAUUUGUUAAAGACUAACUUAUGCGAAAGCAUUUGCCAAGGAUGUUUUCAUUAA